RNAcentral lists this ribosomal RNA (467 nucleotides) under uncultured bacterium. RNAcentral describes it as "partial 16S ribosomal RNA". It matches the Rfam family "Bacterial small subunit ribosomal RNA", at positions 28 to 507 of the family's 1533-position model. The record is from RNAcentral.
GACGAACGCUGGCGGCGUGCUUAACACAUGCAAGUCGAACGAUGACGACCGAGCUUGCUCGGUCUGAUUAGUGGCGAACGGGUGAGUAACACGUGAGCAACCUGCCCUUCACUCUGGGAUAACCUCGGGAAAUCGGGGCUAAUACCGGAUAUGAGCUCCUGACGCAUGGCGGGUGUUGGAAAGUUGUUCGGUGGAGGAUGGGCUCGCGGCCUAUCAGUUUGUUGGUGAGGUAGUGGCUCACCAAGGCGAUGACGGGUAGCCGGCCUGAGAGGGCGACCGGCCACACUGGGACUGAGAGACGGCCCAGACUCCUACGGGAGGCAGCAGUGGGGAAUAUUGCACAAUGGGCGAAAGCCUGAUACAGCGACGCCGCGUGAGGGAUGACGGCCUUCGGGUGGUAAACCUCUUUCAGCAGGGAAGAAGCGAAAGUGACGGUACCUGCAGAAGAAGCGCCGGCUAACUACGUG